GCAGGUUAAAUGUCACAAGGUUCCAUGUAAAUCCUAUGCCUAAAUCAGAAAAAAAAAAAGAACGAAAUCCCAGAGGAAGACUUGACUUGACAGUCCUCAUGUAGAAAAGGCCUAUGAUCAAUUUAAAUGAAUUGAAAAUUCAACAUGAGUUAAUGAUAUGGCAUGGUUGCCGAUGACAUUAACCAAAGUUUAGGAGCUCCCCAAACUGAAGUAUUUGUUUUAAUAUUCUUUCAGCUGCUUCGCCACACUUGGCUUGUGGACAUCAGCUUUGGAUCACAAUCAUAAAACAAAUGACUGGACCAGAGGCUGUUCCUGAAUGAUGAGUCCAUGUUCCUGUGCUCAGUGAGAGCAUGAUUGGAUCUUAUCACAUCUUGUCAUCUUCAGUUUACCUCCGAAUUGAACAACAGUUGUUAUUUUUCACCAGAAAACAAAGAUAGAUGACCCUUAUUGUUCUGCUUCAUGAUGGGAUCCUGCCCUGAGGUUGACUACGUAAUUUUCUUAGCAAUUUGGAGGAAGAUUGAAAUCUUGGCAAUUAAAUCUGACUUCCAGUGUUGCAGAGCCUGACCCGGAAAUGGGGAAGACGAGCAGCCGGCACAGCUGUCCUAGAUAAGCUCUGAGAUUCAUAAUUGCCCAGUUCCUCUCCUGUGGUCCAAACUCGUCUCUGUGAAAGGUACCUCUGGCUGUCAUCUGUCCCCCUGUGGGGGCUUGGACCACAGGGAACCAAGGCUGGGACUGUUAUGUAAAUAAUUUGUCUGUUCUCUGACCCAGAAACCUUGUUUCUUCUCAGGAAUAAAUCAAAAUGUAAACA
Molecule: long non-coding RNA, 808 nt
Organism: Phacochoerus africanus (Common warthog)
Lineage: Eukaryota; Metazoa; Chordata; Mammalia; Artiodactyla; Suidae
Exons: 4
Source: RefSeq, a predicted model, not a curated record